RNAcentral lists this ribosomal RNA (466 nucleotides) under uncultured bacterium. RNAcentral describes it as "partial 16S ribosomal RNA". It matches the Rfam family "Bacterial small subunit ribosomal RNA", at positions 28 to 506 of the family's 1533-position model. The record is from RNAcentral.
GACGAACGCUGGCGGCGUGCUUAACACAUGCAAGUCGAACGGAAAGGCCCCUUUCGGGGGUUCCCCGGGGGGCGAACGGGGGGUAAACACGGGGGUAACCUGCCCUUGCCUUGGGGUUAACUCCAGGAAACUGGGGCUAAUACGGGAAGGAGGCUCCGCCGGCUGGGGGGGGGUGGGAAGGUUUCGGCGGUUGGGGUUGGACUCGCGGCUUAUCAGCUUGUUGGUGGGGUAGUGGCUUACCAAGGCUUUGACGGGUAGCCGGCCUGAGAGGGUGACCGGCCACAUUGGGACUGAGAUACGGCCCAGACUCCUACGGGAGGCAGCAGUGGGGAAUAUUGCACAAUGGGUGGAAGCCUGAUGCAGCAACGCCGUGUGCGGGAUGACGGCCUUCGGGUUGUAAACCGCUUUCGCUCAUGACGAAGCUUUGUGUGACGGUAGUGGGUAAAGAAGCACCGGCUAACUACGU